UAUGAUGCGAAAGAUGCCAUGGCG
Molecule: non-coding RNA, 24 nt
Filed under: Arabidopsis thaliana (thale cress)
Lineage: Eukaryota; Viridiplantae; Streptophyta; Magnoliopsida; Brassicales; Brassicaceae
Source: RNAcentral